Molecule: ribosomal RNA, 491 nt
Filed under: uncultured bacterium
Lineage: Bacteria
Description: partial 16S ribosomal RNA
Rfam family: Bacterial small subunit ribosomal RNA
Source: RNAcentral
AGUGAACGCUGGCGGUAGGCCUAACACAUGCAAGUCGAACGGCAGCACAGUAAGAGCUUGCUCUUACGGGUGGCGAGUGGCGGACGGGUGAGGAAUACAUCGGAAUCUACUUUUUCGUGGGGGAUAACGUAGGGAAACUUACGCUAAUACCGCAUACGACCUACGGGUGAAAGCAGGGGAUCUUCGGACCUUGCGCGAUUGAAUGAGCCGAUGUCGGAUUAGCUAGUUGGCGGGGUAAAGGCCCACCAAGGCGACGAUCCGUAGCUGGUCUGAGAGGAUGAUCAGCCACACUGGAACUGAGACACGGUCCAGACUCCUACGGGAGGCAGCAGUGGGGAAUAUUGGACAAUGGGCGCAAGCCUGAUCCAGCCAUACCGCGUGGGUGAAGAAGGCCUUCGGGUUGUAAAGCCCUUUUGUUGGGAAAGAAAAGCAGCAGGUUAAUACCCCGCUGUCUGACGGUACCCAAAGAAUAAGCACCGGCUAACUUCGUG